RNAcentral lists this ribosomal RNA (1012 nucleotides) under Campylobacter concisus. RNAcentral describes it as "bacterial SSU rRNA". It matches the Rfam family "Bacterial small subunit ribosomal RNA", at positions 159 to 1189 of the family's 1533-position model. The record is from RNAcentral. Lineage: Bacteria; Pseudomonadati; Campylobacterota; Epsilonproteobacteria; Campylobacterales; Campylobacteraceae.
ACUGCUAAUACUCUAUACUCCUGUCUUACAUAAGUUAGAUAGGGAAAGUUUUUCGGUGUAGGAUGAGGCUAUAUUGUAUCAGCUAGUUGGUGAGGUAAUGGCUCACCAAGGCUAUGACGCAUAACUGGUCUGAGAGGAUGAUCAGUCACACUGGAACUGAGACACGGUCCAGACUCCUACGGGAGGCAGCAGUAGGGAAUAUUGCUCAAUGGGGGAAACCCUGAAGCAGCAACGCCGCGUGGAGGAUGACACUUUUCGGAGCGUAAACUCCUUUUGUUAGGGAAGAAUAAUGACGGUACCUAACGAAUAAGCACCGGCUAACUCCGUGCCAGCAGCCGCGGUAAUACGGAGGGUGCAAGCGUUACUCGGAAUCACUGGGCGUAAAGGACGCGUAGGCGGAUUAUCAAGUCUCUUGUGAAAUCCUAUGGCUUAACCAUAGAACUGCUUGGGAAACUGAUAAUCUAGAGUGAGGGAGAGGCAGAUGGAAUUGGUGGUGUAGGGGUAAAAUCCGUAGAGAUCACCAGGAAUACCCAUUGCGAAGGCGAUCUGCUGGAACUCAACUGACGCUAAUGCGUGAAAGCGUGGGGAGCAAACAGGAUUAGAUACCCUGGUAGUCCACGCCCUAAACGAUGUAUACUAGUUGUUGCUAAGCUAGUCUUGGCAGUAAUGCACCUAACGGAUUAAGUAUACCGCCUGGGGAGUACGGUCGCAAGAUUAAAACUCAAAGGAAUAGACGGGGACCCGCACAAGCGGUGGAGCAUGUGGUUUAAUUCGAAGAUACGCGAAGAACCUUACCCGGACUUGAUAUCUAACAAAUCAUCCAGAGAUGGAAGAGUGUCUGCUUGCAGAAAUGUUAAGACAGGUGCUGCACGGCUGUCGUCAGCUCGUGUCGUGAGAUGUUGGGUUAAGUCCCGCAACGAGCGCAACCCACGUCAUUAGUUGCUAACAGUUCGGCUGAGCACUCUAAUGAGACUGCCUUCGUAAGGAGGAGGAAGGUGUGGACGACGUCAAG